Xiphophorus maculatus (southern platyfish) is the source of this 1537-nucleotide long non-coding RNA. RefSeq lists it as uncharacterized. The transcript has 2 exons. NCBI's taxonomy places the organism in Eukaryota, Metazoa, Chordata, Actinopteri, Cyprinodontiformes, Poeciliidae. The record is from RefSeq and is a predicted model, not a curated record.
CGCUGGUCACCGCGCCGGAGCCGCUGCAGACCGGACCGAGCGGAGGUUCGCAAAAAAACAGGGAACUCAUGAUGAAAGAUAACUAAAAAAUGCUGAGAGCACGGAAGAUGGGGGGACCAUCACUGUCACAGCUGGAAGACUCUAACAUGGGCUCCUGCAGCAAACACCAACCCUAAAAAGUCCUUUAGGAGCCACAGAGGGCUUCAUCUCCUGACGGAACCGAAGGUUUGACGCAGAUCGAAAUAAUAAGCACCAGCCUCAUUCCUCGUCACCCUCAUGUUUCUUGUCUCCGUCUUUGUCCAGAUCUGCUGAUGCUGCCGGCCGACUGAGGAGGAGCUUUCUGUCCUUAUCAUCCCCCGGUUCACCGCGGCUCUACCCAGUCUCCAUGCGGCGCGGAGGGGCAGGAUGCAGCGCCGCAGAGCCCGGCCUCUCCAUGGAUCAUGUUGCAAAGUGCUAAACUCGGCACUAUCACCUUAUCAGCCCCUCCCACAUCCCUCCCAAAGCCUCUCACUCUGUCUCCAUGACGAGACUCAGCCAAGGCUUAUAGCUGGACUUCAAUAGGGCCAUUUCAUUUUGAUUUGUUACGCAUUUUUUGUUCAGAACAUGUAUUUUAGAAGUAAUUCCAAGUUUGAUUGCUUCUCAUUAAAGAAAAGUAAAACAUUAAAAAUAAUUAUAAAUUAUAUCAUCAUUCUAAAAUUUGCUGUAUGGUUAUAAUAAAUGAAAUAAAUUGUUUUCUACAUCCAAAGAAAGCAAUUACCCACAAAGGUUUAUAUAUAUAUAUAUUCCAAUAUUUUGUCCCAUAAUUGCAUUCAAAGCAAAAUCUGGGAUGGAGAAGAUAAUUUUUACCCAUCAAAAGUCACCAUAUAUAUGAACGAAUACUAAUAUUUGCCAUGUCAGUUGCAUUAAACACAAUUUUAUUAAUAGUAGGGUAGGUACCAGAAUUUCUUUCAAUACCGUAGUUCCCAUAAAACCAAUUGUUUUGAAUUGGACUGAGCUGCAGUGCAUGUGAGUGAAUUUGGCAUCUGAUCACAAUAAUAGGAUUCAACGGGAUUGCACUGAAUUUACAUGCAUUGCACAGAACUCGAUAUUGUAUAUUAGAAUAUGAAUUAAAUCAGUUUAUUUUGACUAUUAAGUGCUUUGUAUCACUAUGGUUUUCUUUUGAGAAUAAACUAUUGAUCCCACUUUGCAACUCUCUUUGGUUGCAUUAUUAAAUAUCCUAUGGAAAAUAUAAUAAAAGCAUCCAACUUUGACAAAAUAAUGGAAAUGUAUAUUAAGAAACAAUGAGUUUUCAAGGUGAUGGCAUCAAUAUUUACAUUCAAAAUAAUAUACGUUCACAAAUGAGAUUUUCCCUAUUUCCCUAUUGUCUCAUUUGUAAAUGAACUUCCCUAUCAUCUCGAUAUUUGUGAGCAGCUUCCCUGUUCCUGUUGAAGAAGAGUUUCCACACAGGAUCAUAGUGCCACCAUUAUGUUUCAUCAUUUGGAUAUUGUGGUUAGAGUGAUGUUCAUAAUCUAUUAAUAUUAAAUUGAUUUGAAGCACA